Molecule: ribosomal RNA, 461 nt
Filed under: uncultured bacterium
Lineage: Bacteria
Description: bacterial SSU rRNA
Rfam family: Bacterial small subunit ribosomal RNA
Source: RNAcentral
GGCCCGCACAAGCGGAGGAACAUGUGGUUUAAUUCGAUGAUACGCGAGGAACCUUACCCGGGCUUGAAUUGCAGCCGAACGAUCCAGAGAUGGUGAGGCCCUUCGGGGCGGCUGUGAAGGUGCUGCAUGGUUGUCGUCAGCUCGUGCCGUGAGGUGUCGGCUUAAGUGCCAUAACGAGCGCAACCCCUCUCCCCAGUUGCCAUCGGGUAAUGCCGGGCACUCCGGGGACACUGCCACCGUAAGGUGCGAGGAAGGUGGGGAUGACGUCAAAUCAGCACGGCCCUUACGUCCGGGGCUACACACGUGUUACAAUGGCCGGUACAGAGAGCCGGGUCUGCGCAAGCAGUCUCCAAUCCCAAAAGCCGGCCUCAGUUCGGACUGGGGUCUGCAACCCGACCCCACGAAGCUGGAUUCGCUAGUAAUCGCGCAUCAGCCAUGGCGCGGUGAAUACGUUCCCGGGC